Nycticebus coucang (slow loris) is the source of this 5311-nucleotide long non-coding RNA. RefSeq lists it as uncharacterized. Lineage: Eukaryota; Metazoa; Chordata; Mammalia; Primates; Lorisidae. The transcript is spliced from 3 exons. The record is from RefSeq and is a predicted model, not a curated record.
AGAAAGACAAGAGGCAACUGUCAGAAAGCUUUUCCUCUUUAGUCUGAAUGAUGACUGCUAAUAACAAAGCUCCCAACACAACCAGUCCUCCCCACACUGUGCACUCUCCAGGGCAGGAUUCCAGUCUGACCCACUGGCCAUGUGUCUCCCAUGCCUCCCACAGUCUGGGUACUCCAUUUUUCAUUGGUGGAUAAAAGAAUAAAGCGGUGUCCAUCCUCAUUCUCACCUAAGCUGUCUGGGCAACUGUGAUUCAGUUAGGGGAAACAUCUUGAGUGUUCAGCUUGUUGAUAUACAUUUAGUUCUAACUUCUUGCUUAUAACUGGAAUAUUCAGUUAGCUUGUUGAUAUACAUUUAAUUCCAACUCCAGGGCACUUGGGCCCCUAACACAAGGCAGGGCUGGGUCAGGGCUGGGGAACACUCUUCGUGGGAGUCAAGAAAUUCAUAAUCAGUCAAGAAAAGUGCCGAUCUUGAUUGUUUUAAGAGUGUUUUUAAAACCCACAAAAUAAAUAUUUCUAAAUUUAAAAAAAAAAAAAAAAAGAAAUUCAUGAUCAGGACAAACUAGAUGUAGGAGCACACCUACCUACUCCACAGCUGGAGUUCAACCAGCUCCUUACUAAAAAGCCUGCACUAUGCUUCCAGCCUGCCACCAGGCCUAACUCAGCUCCAAAUCAAAUCACCAGGUCCAGUGUAAGGUUAAAAGCAGUGGGCCAUCUAGUUACAACUGACACUUCUAAACACAGACACACUGAGCAGGGCUCAGGAAAAUAUGGCACACACAAGAAAUCUUAUAUCCAGCCCACAACCUGAGGAGGAUAUGAAUUUCAUCAGCAAAGACUGCAGCAGCUCCCACUCAUUCUUAAGUGAGCAUCAGGUCCCCUGUUAUCAUACAUGUCACCUCCACAUCAGUAGCUGUCACACUCUUCAAGGUCAACAUCCCCAUAUUAAAGAUGAAGGAGUUAAAGUUCUGAAAGGAAAGGUCAUGUAGCCAGGGCCACACGACUAUUAAAAAAAGUCAAAAACCAGGGGCGGCACCUGUGGCUCAGUGAGCAGGGCGCCGGCCCCAUAUGCCGAGGGUGGCGGGUUCAAACCCAGCCCCAGCCAAACUGCAACAAAAAAAUAGCUGGGCGUUGUGGUGGGCGCCUGUAGUCCCAGCUGCUCGGGAGGCUGAGGCAAGAGAAUCGCGUAAGCCCAAGAGUUAGAGGUUGCUGUGAGCCGUGUGACGCCACGGCACUCUACCUGAGGGCGGUACAGUGAGACUCUGUCUCUACAAAAAAAAAAAAAAAAGUCAAAAACCGGGCUGGGUGCAGUGGCUAACACCUGUAAUCCUAGCCAUCUGGGAAGCCAAGGCAGGAGGAUCAGUUGAGCUCAGUUCUCAGUUCUGACACCAGCCUAAGCAAAAGUGAGACCCCCGUCUCUCCUAAAAAUAGAAAAACUAGCCAGGCGUUGUGGUGGGUGCCUGUAGUCUCAGCUACUUGGAAAGCUAAGGAACAAGGAUCAUUGUCUCUCCUAAAAAUAGAAAAACUAGCCAGGCAUUGUGGCGGGUGCCUGUAGUCUAAGCUACUCGGAAGCUAAGGAACAAGGAUCAUUUGAGCCCUGGAGUUUGAGGCUGUUAUUAACAAGGCUGACCCCACAGCACUCUAGCCUAGAAAACAGAGUAAAACUGUCUCAAAAAGUCAGAAACUCUGUUAUUGCUGGCUCAGCAUCUCAUACUUUUUUUUUUUUUUGAGACAGAGUCUCACUUUGUUGCCCUCAGCAGAGUGCCGUGGCAUCACAGUUCAUAGCAACCUCCAACUCUUGGGCUUAAGCGAUUCUCUUGCCUCAGCCUCCCAAGUAGCUGGGACUACAGGCGCCCACCACAACGCCCAGCUAUUUUUUUGUUGCAAUUCUCAUUGCUAUUUUAGCUGGCCGGGGCCAGGUUCAAACCUGUCUCCCUCAGUUUAUGGGGCUGGCACCCUACCUACUGAGCCACAGGUGUCACCCAUCUCAUACUUUUCUAAUCUAGCAAUUAAAACUGCAAUUGAAUAAUUAUCUGUGAAAUUAUUCUGUAUGUCCUCUUCUAACUUGACUAUAAAUUCCAUCAGUGCUGAGACUGUGUGUGUCUUAUUCACUGCUCUACUCCCAGAAGGGACUAAAGCACAGACGGAGUAAGAACAAUAGCAAAUCCUACUGCAUGCCAGACAGUGCUGUAACCUGCCUGUAUACAAGAUGGCACCUGACUUAAUGAUAGUUCAACUUAAAAUAAUUCCAUCUUAUCAUGGUUUUGUCAUGAUGUAGCCCUGUGAUAGGUUGAGGAGCAUCUGGACUUGAUGGGUCAUCUUAAGAUAUUUUUAUAUUACAUUGGGAUUAUGAGGUAUUGAGUGCAGUUUCAACUUAAAAUGUGUAUAUCAGGACAUAACCCCAUCAUAAGGAGAGGAGCAUCUGUGUAGAUUUUCAUUUAAACGUCACAAAAGCCUGCUGAGCAUGUACUAUUAUUCCUAUUUUUCUGAGGCUCCAGACAGGUUAUGUUGGGUAUCAGAAAAUAAUAUUCCAAAGUAUAGCACUUUGGCAGGCUGAGUACUUUGAUAUAAAGAAGAACCAAGCAGGGUCUCUCACCCCUGUUUUUCUUAUCUGACUAAGGAAUACAACUGUCACAAAUCCCUUCCCUGGGAGUCUCACCAACUAGGGAGAACUAACUGCUAUCACAAGAAAGGAGACUAUAGGUUGGACACCAUGUCCAGUGUUUGUCACAGACUAUCACCUAUUCUGAGACAGUUUGUCUCCAAGACAGAUUUUACUACUCUCAGACUUAUGAGUGUAUUUCCUCCCUGCAACCACCAUAACUUGUAUCCUUGUCACCAGCUAGAAGCCCCAGAACCCUAUUCCUUUCUAUAGCUCAGGAUGCUAUAUAGUCAUGUGCCACAUAAUGACGUUUCACUCAAUGGUGGACCAUAUAUACAACAGGGAGCCAUAAGGUUACAAUGGAGCUGAAAAAUUCCUGUCACCUACUGACAUCACGGCUAUCACAUCAUGAUAGAAUGCACUCCUCACAGGUGAUGCAGGUAUAAACAAACCUUCGCUGUCAGUCAUAUAAAAAGUACAGGAUAUACAAUUAUGCGCAAUAUACAAUUUAACAUUCGAUAAUCAUAAAUGGCUAUGUUACUGGUUUAUGUGUAGGCAUACCUCAGAGAUACUGCAGGUUUAGUUCCAGACCACCACAAUAAAGUCACACAUUUUGUUGUUUACCAGUUCAUAUAAAAGUUAUGUUUAAUAGACUACACUAUACUAUAGUCUGUCAAGUAUACAUUAUCAUUAUGUAUAAAAAGGCAAUGUAUAUACUUUAAAAAUAUUUUAUUGCUAAAAAAUGCUAAUGAUCAUCUGCACCUUCAUCAAGUCUAUCUUUUUGCUACUGGAGGGUCUGGCCUUAAUACUGACGGCUGCUAACUGAGCAGGACACUGGCUGCUGAAGGCCGGGGUUGCUGUCUCAAUUUCUUAAAAUAAGACAACAAUGAUGUUUGCCACAUUGACUUUUCCUUUCAUAAAAGACUUCUCUGUAUCAUGGAAUGGAUGUUAUCUGAAAACCUUUUUACCUACAGUAGACUUUCGAAAUUGGAACCAAUCCUCUCAAACUCUAUUGCUGCUUUAUCAAUUGAGUUUAUGUAAUAUUCUAAAUUCUUUGUUGUCAUUUCAACAGCCUCUUCACCAGGUGUAGAUUCCAUUUCAAGAAACUAUCUUUGCUCAUCCCUAAGAAGUAACUCUUCGUUUGCUAAAGUUGUAUCAUGAAAUUGCAGCAAUUCAGUCCCAAGGUGAGGCUCCAUUUCUAAUUCUCAUUUUCUUGCCAUUUUUUUUUUUUUUACUAUUUCUUGCAGUUACUUCCUCUAUUGCCUAGAACCCCUCCAAAGUCAUCCAGGAGGGCGCGAAUCAACUUUUUUCAAACUCUUUUUAAAUGUUGAUAUUUUGACCUCAUCCCAUGAGUUAGGAAGGUUCUUACUAGGGAAGAAAGGAUGGUGAAUCCUUUCCAGAUGUUCAAUUUACUUUGCCUGGAUAUAUCAGAGGAACCACCAUCUAUACCAGUCAUAGCUUUAUAAAAGGUAUUUUUUUAAGUAUUAAGAUUUUCAAGUUAGCCAGGCACGGUGGCUCACACUUGUAAUCCUUGCACUCUAGGAUGCUAAGGUGGGUUGAUUGCUUGAGCUCAUGAGUUCAAGACCACCGGAGCAAAAGGGUCUCUACUAAAAAUAGAAAAACUGAGGCAAGAGGAUCGCUUGAGCCUGAGUUGGAGGUUGCUAUGAGCUAUGAUGCCAUGGCACUCUACCCAGGGAGACAACUUGAGACUCUGCCUCAAGAAAAAAAAAAAAAGAAAAAAAGACUUUCAAGUUCAGAUUGUUCCUUGAUCCACAGGUUACAGACUGGAUAUUAUGUUAGCAAGCAUGAAAACAACAUUUAAUCUCUUUGUAUACCUCCACUAUACAGAGCUCUUCCAUAAGACUAGGUACAUUUUCAAUGAACAGUAAUAUUUUGAAAGGAAUAUGUUUUUCCUGGACAACUGGUCUCAACAGUGGGCUUGUAAUAAAAUACUCAGUAAGCCAUGUUGUAAACAUGUCAUCCAGACUUUGUUGUUCCAUUUAUAGGGCAUGGGCAGAGUAGACUUAAUAUAACUCUUAAAGGUCCCAGGAUUUUCAGCAUGGUAAACAAGCUUUGACUUCAAUUGAGAAGUCACCAGUAGCAUUAGCCCCUAACAAGAGACUAAGCGUGUCCCUUCAAGCUUUAAAGCCAGGCACUGACUUUUCCUGCUAAAGUCCUACAUGGCAUCUUCUUCCAACAGAAGCCUGUUUCAUCUACACUGACAAUCCGUAUAGUGUGGACACCUUCCCAGUGAUCUUUGCUAGAUCUUCUGAAUAACCUGCUGCAGCUUCUAUGUCAACACUUGCUGUUCACUCUGAACUUUCAUGUUACGGAGAUGGCAUCUUUUCUUAAACCUCAUGAACCAAGCUCUGCUAGCUUCUAACUUUCUUUCUGCAGCGUCCUCAUUGUCUCAGCCUUCACAAUGUGGCAAACGGUCUUGCUCUGGAUUAGGAUUUGGCCUAAUGAAGAAUAUUGUGAAUAGUCUGAUCUAUCCAGACCAAUAAAUUUUCUAUCAGUAAUAAGGCUGUUUUGCUUUCUAAUUAUUCAUUUGUUCAAUGGAGUAGCACUUUUAAUGUCAAGAUUUUUUCCUUCUGGCCAGGCGCAGUGGCUCAUGCCUAUAAUCUCAGCACUCUGGGAGGCUAAAGUGGGUGGAUUGCUUCAACGGAGGAGUUCAAGACCAGCCUGAACCAGAGUAAGACUUCGUCUCUAAAAA